RNAcentral lists this ribosomal RNA (470 nucleotides) under uncultured bacterium. RNAcentral describes it as "bacterial SSU rRNA". It matches the Rfam family "Bacterial small subunit ribosomal RNA", at positions 329 to 792 of the family's 1533-position model. The record is from RNAcentral.
CACCAGACUCCUACGGGAGGCAGCAGUAGGGAAUCUUCCACAAUGGGCGCAAGCCUGAUGGAGCAACACCGCGUGAGUGAAGAAGGGUUUCGGCUCGUAAAGCUCUUUUGUUGGAGAAGAACGUGCGUGAGAGUAACUGUUCACGCAGUGACGGUAUCCAACCAGAAAGUCACGGCUAACUACGUGCCAGCAGCCGCGGUAAUACGUAGGUGGCAAGCGUUAUCCGGAUUUAUUGGGUUUAAAGGGUGCGCAGGCGGGGCCACAAGCCAGCGGAAAAAUCGGGGGGCUCACCCCCGCUCCGCCGUUGAAACUGUGUCCCUUGAGUGCGCGAAGGGUAGGCGGAAUGCGCGGUGUAGCGGUGAAAUGCAUAGAUAUCACGCAGAACUCCGAUCGCGAAGGCAGCCUACCGGCGCGCAACUGACGCUCAUGCACGAAAGCGUGGGUAUCGAACAGGAUUAGAUACCCGGGUA